CGCUAUCACUCCUACGGGAGGCAGCAGUGGGGAAUAUUGCACAAUGGGCGCAAGCCUGAUGCAGCCAUGCCGCGUGUGUGAAGAAGGCCUUCGGGUUGUAAAGCACUUUCAGUAGGGAGGAAGGUAGUGUAGUUAACACCUGCACUAUUUGACGUUACCUACAGAAGAAGCACCGGCUAACUCCGUGCCAGCAGCCGCGGUAAUACGGAGGGUGCGAGCGUUAAUCGGAAUUACUGGGCGUAAAGCGCAUGCAGGCGGCCUGUUAAGUCAGAUGUGAAAGCCCGGGGCUUAACCUCGGAAUUGCAUUUGAAACUGGCAGGCUAGAGUCUUGUAGAGGGGGUAGAAUUUCAGGUGUAGCGGUGAAAUGCGUAGAGAUCUGAAGGAAUACCAGUGGCGAAGGCGGCCCCCUGGACAAAGACUGACGCUCAGAUGCGAAAGCGUGGGGAGCAAACAGGAUUAGAUACCCUGGUAG
Molecule: ribosomal RNA, 472 nt
Filed under: uncultured bacterium
Lineage: Bacteria
Description: bacterial SSU rRNA
Rfam family: Bacterial small subunit ribosomal RNA
Source: RNAcentral